RNAcentral lists this ribosomal RNA (258 nucleotides) under uncultured bacterium. Its description in RNAcentral is "partial 16S ribosomal RNA". It matches the Rfam family "Bacterial small subunit ribosomal RNA", at positions 793 to 1055 of the family's 1533-position model. The record is from RNAcentral.
GUCCACGCCCUAAACGAUGUCUACUAGUUGUCGGGUCUUAAUUGACUUGGUAACGCAGCUAACGCGUUAAGUAUUCCACCUGGGGAGUACGCCGGCAACGGUGAAACUCAAAGGAAUUGACGGGGCCCGCACAAGCGGAGGAACAUGUGGUUUAAUUCGAUGAUACGCGAGGAACCUUACCCGGGCUUGAAUUGCAACUGAAUGAUGUGGAGACAUGUCAGCCGCAAGGCAGUUGUGAAGGUGCUGCAUGGUUGUCGU